RNAcentral lists this small RNA (58 nucleotides) under Myotis lucifugus (little brown bat). RNAcentral's name for it is "GRIK4 3 prime UTR element (ENSMLUG00000021915.1)". Lineage: Eukaryota; Metazoa; Chordata; Mammalia; Chiroptera; Vespertilionidae. The record is from RNAcentral.
UAGAGGCGGCGGAGACAGGAACGGAGCCAAGGCAGCGGAGGCGGGAGGGAAACCAGCU